This 239-nucleotide ribosomal RNA is filed under the name uncultured bacterium. RNAcentral's name for it is "partial 16S ribosomal RNA". It matches the Rfam family "Bacterial small subunit ribosomal RNA", at positions 94 to 334 of the family's 1533-position model. The record is from RNAcentral.
AGUGGCGGACGGGUGAGUAACGCGUGGGUAACCUGCCUCAUACAGGGGGAUAACAGUUAGAAAUGACUGCUAAUACCGCAUAAGACCACGGAGCCGCAUGGCUCAGUGGGAAAAACUCCGGUGGUAUGAGAUGGACCCGCGUCUGAUUAGGUAGUUGGUGGGUAACGGCCUACCAAGCCAACGAUCAGUAGCCGACCUGAGAGGGUGACCGGCCACAUUGGGACUGAGACACGGCCCAA